Molecule: ribosomal RNA, 403 nt
Filed under: uncultured bacterium
Lineage: Bacteria
Description: bacterial SSU rRNA
Rfam family: Bacterial small subunit ribosomal RNA
Source: RNAcentral
GGGCCCGCACAAGCGGUGGAGCAUGUGGUUUAAUUCGAUGAUACGCGAGGAACCUUACCAGGGCUUAAAUGUAGUAUGACCGGCUUGGAAACAGGCCUUCUCUUCGGAGCAGAUUACAAGGUGCUGCAUGGUUGUCGUCAGCUCGUGCCGUGAGGUGUUAGGUUAAGUCCUGCAACGAGCGCAACCCCUAUUCUUAGUUGCCAGCGGUUCGGCCGGGGACUCUAAGAAGACUGCCAGCGCAAGCUGAGAGGAAGGUGGGGAUGACGUCAAAUCAUCACGGCCCUUACGUCCUGGGCUACACACGUGCUACAAUGGUAUCUACAACAGGAAGCAAGACUGCGAAGUUAAGCAAAUCCCUAAAAGAUACCUCAGUUCGGAUUGCACUCUGCAACUCGAGUGCAUG